UGAAUGGAAGCUGAGGGUUUUUCUUUCCUUCCCUGCAGUCGCACAGGUUCAAGAGCUCGAGCUCCAAGAGACGCAAUAAGCGAUUGUGUUAUGAGUCUUGGCAGCGCCAAAUCCGUGAGCAGAGGCUGGUGCAAACAGGAGAGUACAGGGCUACACCUCUUUAACUCAUCUCAGGUUAUGUUAAUUGUGGAUCGCACCAUCUCAUGAAGAAAGAGGGCAUGAGUUCAGGACCUGCGUUUUCCUGGGCUGCUGUGUGACCUUGGGUAAAGCAGUUCACUUUACACAGCUGUAUUUUGACUGUUGUUAAAAUGGAAAUAAAGAUACCUUUUCUCUUUUCAAGCAUUGA
Molecule: non-coding RNA, 346 nt
Organism: Cyanistes caeruleus (blue tit)
Lineage: Eukaryota; Metazoa; Chordata; Aves; Passeriformes; Paridae
Source: RefSeq, a predicted model, not a curated record